ACGGGGUGMUUGCACCCASUGGYGAACGGGUGAGUAACACGUAUYUAAUCUACCUAUUAGCGGGGGAUAACAGUUGGAAACGACUGCUAAUACCGCAUACGACAUUUUCUGGCAUCAGAGAAUGUUAAAAGGUCCGUUUGGACCACUAAUGGAUGAGGGUGCGGCGUAUUAGUUAGUUGGUGGGGUAAUGGCCUWCCAAGACAAUGAUAYGUAGCCGAACUGAGAGGUUGAMCGSCCACAUCGGGACUGAGACACGGCCUGAMCUCMUACGGGAGGCAGCAGUAGGGAAUUUUCACAAUGGGCGAAAGCYUGAUGGAGCAAUGCCGCGUGACUGAAGACGGUCUUCGGAUUGUAAAGGUYUGUKUAAGGGAAGAACASUAAMGUAUWGRAA
This 391-nucleotide ribosomal RNA is filed under the name uncultured Spiroplasma sp. RNAcentral's name for it is "partial 16S ribosomal RNA". The record is from RNAcentral. Lineage: Bacteria; Bacillati; Mycoplasmatota; Mollicutes; Entomoplasmatales; Spiroplasmataceae.